CAGGAAGAAACUAUCGAUGACCCAUGAAAUAUAUUUUCUAUCCGUACUUUAAAUGUAAGGAGGAUGCAUCCCUAUUGCAUAUUGGACAUAUAAGAUAUCCUUUGGUGCUCCAUCCAGAUAAGUUUUCAUAUACCGAAAAAUUAUUUAUGAUCCAUAAAAUCAAAGUAUGCAACUUAAAAUUAUUUCGACUCACAGAAUCAUAUGUCUGUACUCCAUUUUUUCAUAACUCCUUUAGAUCA
RNAcentral lists this long non-coding RNA (239 nucleotides) under Elaeis guineensis (African oil palm). RNAcentral describes it as "long non-coding RNA (EGUI_LNC077508)". Lineage: Eukaryota; Viridiplantae; Streptophyta; Magnoliopsida; Arecales; Arecaceae. The record is from RNAcentral.